RNAcentral lists this ribosomal RNA (253 nucleotides) under uncultured bacterium. RNAcentral's name for it is "partial 16S ribosomal RNA". It matches the Rfam family "Bacterial small subunit ribosomal RNA", at positions 524 to 776 of the family's 1533-position model. The record is from RNAcentral.
UACAGAGGUCCCAAGCGUUGUUCGGAUUCACUGGGCGUAAAGGGUGCGUAGGCGGUCGGGUAAGUCUGGCGUGAAAUCUCCAAGCCUAACUUGGAAACUGCGUUGGAUACUAUCCGGCUCGAGGAAUGGAGGGGAGACUGGAAUACUUGGUGUAGCAGUGAAAUGCGUAGAUAUCAAGCGGAACACCAGUGGCGAAGGCGAGUCCCUGGACAACUCCUGACACUGAGGCACGAAAGCUAGGGGAGCAAACAGG